UACGUAGGGGGCAAGCGUUGUCCGGAAUCAUUGGGCGUAAAGAGCGUGUAGGCGGCCAGAUAAGUCCGCUGUGAAAUCUCGAGGCUCAACUUCGAGCUGUCGGUGGAAACUGUCUGGCUAGAGUCCGGAAGAGGAGAAUGGAAUUCCUGGUGUAGCGGUGAAAUGCGCAGAUAUCGGGAGGAACACCAGUGGCGAAGGCGACUUCCUGGCCUGUUCUUGACGCUGAGGCGCGAAAGCUAGGGGAGCAAACGGG
This 253-nucleotide ribosomal RNA is filed under the name uncultured bacterium. Its description in RNAcentral is "partial 16S ribosomal RNA". It matches the Rfam family "Bacterial small subunit ribosomal RNA", at positions 524 to 776 of the family's 1533-position model. The record is from RNAcentral.